GACGAACGCUGGCGGCAUGCCUAACACAUGCAAGUCGAACGAACGCUUCGGCCUUUGUGGCGCACGAGUGCGUCACGCGUGGGAAGCUGCCCUUUUCGUCGGCAUAACAGUUAGAAAUGACUACUAAUACCGGAUGAUAUCUCAUGACCGAAAAUUUAUCGGCAAAGGAUGAGCCCGCGUAGGAUUAGCUAGUUGGUGUGGUAAUGGCCUACCACGGCGACGAUCCUUAGCUGGGCUGAGAGGAUGAUCAGCAACACCGGGACUGAGAAGCGGCCCGGAAUCCUACGGGAGGCAGCAGUGGGGAAUAGUGGAAAGCGGGCGAAGGGCUGAUCGACUAAGGCUGGGUGAGCGAUGAAGGCCGUAGGGUUGUAAAGUGUUUGUACCCGUGAUCAUAAUGACAGUACCGGGAGAAUAAGCUACGGCUAACUCCGUG
This 433-nucleotide ribosomal RNA is filed under the name uncultured bacterium. Its description in RNAcentral is "partial 16S ribosomal RNA". It matches the Rfam family "Bacterial small subunit ribosomal RNA", at positions 28 to 507 of the family's 1533-position model. The record is from RNAcentral.